GCUAGGCAUGGUAGCGCAUGUCUGUGAUCCCAGCUACUUGGGAAGCUGAGAUAGGAGAAUCACAAGUUUGAAGCCAGUCUCAGCAACUUAGUGAGACCCCCCCCCCCUUUUUUUGUGUGACCCUGUCUUAA
RNAcentral lists this small RNA (131 nucleotides) under Marmota monax (woodchuck). Lineage: Eukaryota; Metazoa; Chordata; Mammalia; Rodentia; Sciuridae. The record is from RNAcentral.